Small nuclear RNA from Cricetulus griseus (Chinese hamster), 162 nucleotides. Its record names the gene U1. It matches the Rfam family "U1 spliceosomal RNA". Rfam says of the family: U1 is a small nuclear RNA (snRNA) component of the spliceosome (involved in pre-mRNA splicing). Its 5' end forms complementary base pairs with the 5' splice junction, thus defining the 5' donor site of an intron. The record is from Ensembl. NCBI's taxonomy places the organism in Eukaryota, Metazoa, Chordata, Mammalia, Rodentia, Cricetidae.
AUACUUACUUGGCAGGAGAGGUACCAUGACCAUGAAGGUGGUUUUCCCAGGGCGAGGCUAUCCGUUGCACUCUGGAUGAGCAGACCCCUACGAUUUCCCCCAAAUGUGGGAAACUCAAUUGCAUAAUUUGUGGUAGUGGGGGACUGCAAUGGCGGUCCCUCC